GGCCAGACUCCUACGGGAGGCAGCAGUGGGGAAUAUUGCACAAUGGGGGAAACCCUGAUGCAGCGACGCCGCGUGAGUGAAGAAGUAUUUCGGUAUGUAAAGCCCUAUCAGCAGGGAAGAAAAUGACGGUACCUGACUAAGAAGCCCCGGCUAACUACGUGCCAGCAGCCGCGGUAAUACGUAGGGGGCAAGCGUUAUCCGGAUUUACUGGGUGUAAAGGGAGCGUAGACGGCAUGGCAAGUCAGAUGUGAAAGCCCGGGGCUCAACCCCGGGACUGCAUUUGAAACUGUCAGGCUGGAGUGCAGGAGAGGUAAGUGGAAUUCCUAGUGUAGCGGUGAAAUGCGUAGAUAUUAGGAGGAACACCAGUGGCGAAGGCGGCUUACUGGACUGUAACUGACGUUGAGGCUCGAAAGCGUGGGGAGCAAACAGGAUUAGAUACCCCAGUA
RNAcentral lists this ribosomal RNA (446 nucleotides) under uncultured bacterium. Its description in RNAcentral is "bacterial SSU rRNA". It matches the Rfam family "Bacterial small subunit ribosomal RNA", at positions 329 to 792 of the family's 1533-position model. The record is from RNAcentral.